UACAGAGGUGACAAGCGUUGUUCGGAAUUACUGGGCGUAAAGGGCGCGUAGGCGGGUAUUCAAGUCGGUUGUGAAAUCCCCCAGCUCAACUGGGGAACUGCAUCCGAUACUGUCUGUCUUGAGGACGAGAGGGGAGAGUGGAACUUCUGGUGGAGCGGUGAAAUGCGUAGAUAUCAGAAGGAACGCCGGUGGCGAAAGCGACUCUCUGCCUCGUAUCUGACGCUGAGGCGCGAAAGCUUGGGUAGCAAACGGG
RNAcentral lists this ribosomal RNA (253 nucleotides) under uncultured bacterium. RNAcentral's name for it is "partial 16S ribosomal RNA". It matches the Rfam family "Bacterial small subunit ribosomal RNA", at positions 524 to 776 of the family's 1533-position model. The record is from RNAcentral.